AAAUCCCAUAAAGUUGUUCUCAGUUCGGAUUGUAGUCUGCAACUCGACUACAUGAAGCUGGAAUCGCUAGUAAUCGUAGAUCAGCAUGCUACGGUGAAUACGUUCCCGGGUCUUGUACACACCGCCCGUCACACCACGAGAGUUUGUAACACCCGAAGCCGGUGGAGUAACCUUUUAGGAGCUAGCCGUCGAAGGUGGGACAAAUGAUUGGGGUGAAGUCGUAACAAGGUAGCCGUAUCGGAAGGUGCGGCUGGAUCACCUCC
RNAcentral lists this ribosomal RNA (263 nucleotides) under Staphylococcus aureus. RNAcentral's name for it is "partial 16S ribosomal RNA". It matches the Rfam family "Bacterial small subunit ribosomal RNA", at positions 1269 to 1530 of the family's 1533-position model. The record is from RNAcentral. Lineage: Bacteria; Bacillati; Bacillota; Bacilli; Caryophanales; Staphylococcaceae.